UCUGGCGUGUAUUCCGGAGUGGCAACACCUGUUCCCAUCCCGAACACAGCAGUUAAGCACUCCAGGGCCGAUGAUAGUUAUCAUUAGAUUGCGAAAGUAGGUCCACGCCAGAA
RNAcentral lists this ribosomal RNA (113 nucleotides) under Candidatus Peregrinibacteria bacterium CG11_big_fil_rev_8_21_14_0_20_46_8. Lineage: Bacteria; Candidatus Peregrinibacteriota. The record is from RNAcentral.